Molecule: ribosomal RNA, 521 nt
Filed under: uncultured bacterium
Lineage: Bacteria
Description: bacterial SSU rRNA
Rfam family: Archaeal small subunit ribosomal RNA
Source: RNAcentral
AACCUCCGCAAUGUGAGAAAUCGCGACGGGGGGAUCCCAAGUGCCAUUCUUAACGGGAUGGCUUUUCUUAAGUGUAAAAAGCUUUUGGAAUAAGAGCUGGGCAAGACCGGUGCCAGCCGCCGCGGUAAUACCGGCAGCUCUAGUGGUAGCUGUUUUUAUUGGGCCUAAAGCGUCCGUAGCCGGUUUAAUAAGUCUCUGGUGAAAUCCUGUAGCUUAACUGUGGGAAUUGCUGGAGAUACUAUUAGACUUGAGACCGGGAGAGGUUAGAGGUACUCCCAGGGUAGAGGUGAAAUUCUGUAAUCCUGGGAGGACCGCCUGUUGCGAAGGCGUCUAACUGGAACGGUUCUGACGGUGAGGGACGAAAGUUAGGGGCGCGAACCGGAUUAGAUACCCGGGUAGUCCUAACUGUAAACGAUGCGGACUUGGUGUUGGGGUGGCUUUGAGCUGCUCCAGUGCCGAAGGGAAGCUGUUAAGUCCGCCGCCUGGGAAGUACGGUCGCAAGACUGAAACUUAAAGGAAUU